GACAGAGGAUGCAAGCGUUAUCCGGAAUGAUUGGGCGUAAAGCGUCUGUAGGUGGCUUUUUAAGUCCGCCGUCAAAUCCCAGGGCUCAACCCUGAACAGGCAGUGGAAACUAGCAAGCUUGAGUACGGUAGGGGCAAAGGGAAUUCCCGGUGUAGCGGUGAAAUGCGUAGAUAUCGGGAAGAACACCAAAGGCGAAAGCACUUUGCUGGGCCGAAACUGACACUGAUAGACGAAAGCUAGGGGAGCAAAUGGG
This 253-nucleotide ribosomal RNA is filed under the name uncultured bacterium. RNAcentral's name for it is "partial 16S ribosomal RNA". It matches the Rfam family "Bacterial small subunit ribosomal RNA", at positions 524 to 776 of the family's 1533-position model. The record is from RNAcentral.